This 497-nucleotide ribosomal RNA is filed under the name uncultured bacterium. RNAcentral describes it as "partial 16S ribosomal RNA". It matches the Rfam family "Bacterial small subunit ribosomal RNA", at positions 28 to 507 of the family's 1533-position model. The record is from RNAcentral.
GAUGAACGCUGGCGGCGUGCCUAAUACAUGCCAGUCGAGCGAACAGACGAGGAGCUUGCUCCUCUGACGUUAGCGGCGGACGGGUGAGUAACACGUGGAUAACCUACCUAUAAGACUGGGAUAACUUCGGGAAACCGGAGCUAAUACCGGAUAAUAUAUUGAACCGCAUGGUUCAAUAGUGAAAGACGGUUUUGCUGUCACUUAUAGAUGGAUCCGCGCCGCAUUAGCUAGUUGGUAAGGUAACGGCUUACCAAGGCAACGAUGCGUAGCCGACCUGAGAGGGUGAUCGGCCACACUGGAACUGAGACACGGUCCAGACUCCUACGGGAGGCAGCAGUAGGGAAUCUUCCGCAGUGGGCGAAAGCCUGACGGAGCAACGCCGCGUGAGCGAUGAAGGUCUUCGGAUCGUAAAACUCUGUUAUUAGGGAAGAACAAAUGUGUAAGUAACUAUGCACGUCUUGACGGUACCUAAUCAGAAAGCCACGGCUAACUACGUG